AACGGGUGAGUAUAAUGUGGGAAUCUGCCUUUUGGUUUGGAAUAACACGGGGAAACUUGUGCUAAUACCGAAUAAGCCUUCACAGGGAAAGUUUUAAUGCCGAAAGAUGAGCCCGCACUUGAUUAGCUAGUUGGUAAGGUAAAAGCUUACCAAGGCAACGAUCAAUAGCUGUUCUUAGAGGAAGACCAGCCACAUUGGGACUGAGACACGGCCCAGACUCCUACGGGAGGCAGCAGUGGGGAAUCUUGCACAAUGGGGGAAACCCUGAUGCAGCGAUGCUGCGUGAGUGAAGAAGGCCUUUGGGUUGUAAAACUCUUUCGUCGGGGAAGAAAAUGACUGUACCCGAAUAAGAAGGUCCGGCUAACUUCGUGCCAGCAGCCGCGGUAAUACGAAGGGACCUAGCGUAGUUCGGAAUUACUGGGCUUAAAGAGUUCGUAGGUUGUUGAAAAAGUUGGUGGUGAAAUCCCAGAGCUUAACUCUGGAACUGCCAUCAAAACUUUUCAGCUAGAGUUUGAUAGAGGAAAGCAGAAUUUCUAGUGUAGAGGUGAAAUUCGUAGAUAUUAGAAAGAAUACCAAUUGCGAAGGCAGCUUUCUGGAUCAUUACUGACACUGAGGAACGAAAGCAUGGGUAGCGAAGAGGAUUAGAUACCCUCGUAGUCCAUGCCGUAAACGAUGUGUGUUAGACGUUGGA
This 691-nucleotide ribosomal RNA is filed under the name uncultured bacterium. RNAcentral's name for it is "bacterial SSU rRNA". It matches the Rfam family "Bacterial small subunit ribosomal RNA", at positions 101 to 827 of the family's 1533-position model. The record is from RNAcentral.